CUUGGGGGUAUUUUGUACUUUUUUAGUUUUUUUUUUUAAACGUCCACUUUACGACAAAUAGUCACACUCAAUGUACUGUUGCACCACUGUCCCAGGUUAGGGGAGGGUUGGAUGCCCGCUAACAUGUUCAACAUUGCCAAAUUCUGUAUGUGCCUGCAUGUCCGAAGUCAGGAGCGUGUAAUUCAGUGGUUAUACAUAUUUGUUUUUCGUUCGUUUUUUUUUGUGCAUAACUUAGGCCGUUAGUUUUCUCUUUUGAAUUGACUUACAGUUGUCAUUUCGGGGACUUGAAUAGCUGACUUUGUGGUAUGGGCUUUGUUCAUUGUUGAAGGCAGUACGAUGACCUAUAGUUGUUCAUUUCAUUGUUCGUUUUUUUUUUAUCUUCAAGGUAUAAAGGUUAUGCUUAAUUUCCUCGAACAUUACAGUCUUUUUACUGUGUGCCGAAAUCCAACGGAUUUGUCGUUCUGUAUAUUAUAAGCAUCUUUUAAAAAGUCUAUACCCAUCGAUAUGAAUU
RNAcentral lists this long non-coding RNA (511 nucleotides) under Mytilus galloprovincialis (Mediterranean mussel). Lineage: Eukaryota; Metazoa; Mollusca; Bivalvia; Mytilida; Mytilidae. The record is from RNAcentral.